This is a long non-coding RNA of Cryptomeria japonica (Japanese cedar), 674 nucleotides long. RefSeq lists it as uncharacterized. NCBI's taxonomy places the organism in Eukaryota, Viridiplantae, Streptophyta, Pinopsida, Cupressales, Cupressaceae. The transcript is spliced from 2 exons. The record is from RefSeq and is a predicted model, not a curated record.
UUGACCAACCCUCUUGUUCAACUUUACAGCCGCCAGCGAGGAAGUUUCUACCUGCUACCGGCGGUCAAUGAACAUGCCCGAUAAGUAAUUAAUCCACGUGCUCAUUUCGAUUCUUUAUAUUCCCGCUUCUAGCCAAACCCUGGCAUCGUUUAAUCUUCUGCAGAAACAGAAAUUGGGAGAGAAUUCUGUGUGUGAAGGAUUUUGAUUUUUAAGGGUUGAGAAGCUUUUGGAAAAAUGUCAAGCAGAGCUUUCAUUAGUGCAGUUAUGGCGGUGGUCUUGAGCAUGUUUGCCGUAAUGGCGGUGAAUGCUCAAGAAGUUUCAGCCCCUGCUCCUGCCCCUACCAGCGAUGGGUACGCCAUUGACCAAGGAAUCGCCUCUAUUCUCAUGCUGGUGGCACUGCUGCUCACCUACUUCUUGCACUGAUUGCACACCAGACAUUCUUUCUUCGGAUCGCACAGAUUGUUUUCCUUAUUAAAUUAGGGUCUGCAUAAAUUUUCAAAUCAAGUGCUGCAAAGAUUGAUCUCCUAUUCUUUAUUCAUUAUCCAUUCCUUCUCUGCAAAAGUCGAUCUCCAAUUCGUUCUUCAUUAUCCGUGCCUGUCAGGGCAUGAUUGUACAAUAGCAAAUUUUCAUUAUGAUUAUUUUUAUAUGAGAAAUAAAUUCUUUUAUUAAAAUCA